AGGAGGCUAAGCCCAUUUCAGCUGGCGUUUUAGCCCCAUUCACGCAUCGCCGCAGCAAUGUUGGGGGCUAAUUCGCUUCAGCUCCUCUCUUGGGUCCCAUCAGCACUGUGCCCUAAUAGCAGUAUGGCGUCGCUUUAAAUAAUCACGGCUCCCCCCCCCCCAAGAAUCCUGGGAAGUGUAGUUUGUUAAGGGUGCUGAAAGUUGCUAGGAGACCUUUGUUCCCCUUGCAUAGCUAGAAUUCCCAGAGAGGUUUAACAGUCAAUCCCUCUCCCUGGGGAACUCUGAGAAAUGUAGCUCUGUGAGGGGAAUAGGAGCCUCCUAACCACUCUCAACAACUGUCUGCUCCAUCUUCCGGGUGACAACCCUUCAGCAGAGCAGCUUGUAAAAUUCUGAAGGCUGGAGGGGAGCAGAAGCCAAGGACCACGUGAAUCAAUUACAUAAUGAGCUGCAAAUUGAACUGGAAACAGAGUUAGUUCUCUUCUGGAGGGGGUGAAUGUGAACUGCAACUAAUUCCUUUCUAAAAUGAACUUUCCAAGCUCUGACUCCAGGAUGUUCUGAAUCAAUUUCUCUGUCCAUCUCUACAGACUUUAAUUUACACAUGAGGAGCACUUGGUAAACCUUUGUGACCCGCUUGCGAAUCACUUUGCAGAUAAUCUCGCUCAUAUCUCAGCUUUAA
Long non-coding RNA from Podarcis raffonei (Aeolian wall lizard), 676 nucleotides. RefSeq lists it as uncharacterized. The record is from RefSeq and is a predicted model, not a curated record. NCBI's taxonomy places the organism in Eukaryota, Metazoa, Chordata, Lepidosauria, Squamata, Lacertidae. The transcript has 2 exons.